GGACGAACCUCUGGUGUGCCAGUUGUCCUGCCAAGGGCACCGCUGGUUAGCUACGUUCGGAAGGGAUAACCGCUGAAAGCAUCUAAGCGGGAAGCCUGUUCCAAGAUGAGGUUUCUCACCCCCUCGAGGGGGUAAGGCCCCCCACAGACCAUGGGGUUGAUAGGCCAGAACUGGAAGCACGGUAACGUGUGGAGGUGACUGGUACUAAUCGGCCGAGGACUUACCAA
This 227-nucleotide ribosomal RNA is filed under the name Nocardia amikacinitolerans. Its description in RNAcentral is "partial 23S rRNA. Bacterial LSU". It matches the Rfam family "Bacterial large subunit ribosomal RNA", at positions 2699 to 2925 of the family's 2925-position model. Lineage: Bacteria; Bacillati; Actinomycetota; Actinomycetes; Mycobacteriales; Nocardiaceae. The record is from RNAcentral.